Molecule: ribosomal RNA, 426 nt
Filed under: uncultured bacterium
Lineage: Bacteria
Description: partial 16S ribosomal RNA
Rfam family: Bacterial small subunit ribosomal RNA
Source: RNAcentral
UGGGGAAUAUUGGACAAUGGGCGAAAGCCUGAUCCAGCCAUGCCGCGUGUGUGAAGAAGGUCUUCGGAUUGUAAAGCACUUUAAGUUGGGAGGAAGGGCAUUAACCUAAUACGUUAGUGUUUUGACGUUACCGACAGAAUAAGCACCGGCUAACUCUGUGCCAGCAGCCGCGGUAAUACAGAGGGUGCAAGCGUUAAUCGGAAUUACUGGGCGUAAAGCGCGCGUAGGUGGUUUGUUAAGUUGGAUGUGAAAUCCCCGGGCUCAACCUGGGAACUGCAUUCAAAACUGACUGACAGAGUAUGGUAGAGGGUGGUGGAAUUUCCUGUGUAGCGGUGAAAUGCGUAGAUAUAGGAAGGAACACCAGUGGCGAAGGCGACCACCUGGACUAAUACUGACACUGAGGUGCGAAAGCGUGGGGAGCAAACA